Molecule: ribosomal RNA, 253 nt
Filed under: uncultured bacterium
Lineage: Bacteria
Description: partial 16S ribosomal RNA
Rfam family: Bacterial small subunit ribosomal RNA
Source: RNAcentral
UACGUAGGUGGCAAGCGUUGUUCGGAAUUAUUGGGCGUAAAGAGCGCGCAGGCGGUCGUUCAAGUCGCGUGUGAAAGCCCCCGGCUCAACUGGGGAGGGUCACGCGAUACUGAUCGACUCGAAGGCAGGAGAGGGUAGUGGAAUUCCCGGUGUAGUGGUGAAAUGCGUAGAUAUCGGGAGGAACACCAGUGGCGAAGGCGACUACCUGGCCUGUUCUUGACGCUGAGGCGCGAAAGCUAGGGGAGCAAACGGG